AUUCUUCAGCAGAACAUGUACUAAAAUUUGAAUAAAACAGGGAAGAUUAGCAUGGCUCCUGCAUCAUGAUGACAUUCAAAUUCAUGAACUGUUCCAUAUUCUA
Coturnix japonica (Japanese quail) is the source of this 103-nucleotide small nuclear RNA. The record is from Ensembl. Lineage: Eukaryota; Metazoa; Chordata; Aves; Galliformes; Phasianidae.